GUGUCAGCAGCCGCGGUAAUACGUAGGGGGCGAGCGUUGUCCGGAUUUAUUGGGCGUAAAGAGCGUGUAGGCGGCUUGGUAGGUCUGCUGUGAAAACUCGGGGCUCAACCCCGAGACGUCGGUGGAAACCACCUGGCUAGAGUCCGGAAGAGGAGAGUGGAAUUCCUGGUGUAGCGGUGAAAUGCGCAGAUAUCAGGAAGAAUAUCCGUGGCGAAGGCGGCUCUCUGGUACGGCACUGACGCUGAGACGCGAAAGCGUGGGGAGCGAACAGGAUUAGAUACCCUGGUAGUCCACGCCGUAAACGAUGGGUGCUAGGUGUGGGUGGUGUCGACUCCAUCCGUGCCGUAGCUAACGCAUUAAGCACCCCGCCUGGGGAGUACGGCCGCAAGGCUAAA
This 395-nucleotide ribosomal RNA is filed under the name uncultured bacterium. Its description in RNAcentral is "bacterial SSU rRNA". It matches the Rfam family "Bacterial small subunit ribosomal RNA", at positions 505 to 898 of the family's 1533-position model. The record is from RNAcentral.